GCGCGAAAACUUUACAAUGCUGGCAACAGCGAUAAGGGAACCUCGAGUGCCAGGUUACAAAUCUGGCUGUCGUGAUGCCUAAAAAGCAUUGCAUAGCAAGGGCCGGGCAAGACCGGUGCCAGCCGCCGCGGUAACACCGGCGGCUCGAGUGGUAACCGUUAUUAUUGGGUCUAAAGGGUCUGUAGCCGGCCGGAUAAGUCUCUUGGGAAAUCUGGCAGCUCAACUGUCAGGCUUUCAGGAGAUACUGUCUGGCUCGAGGCCGGGAGAGGUGAGAGGUACUUCAGGGGUAGGGGUGAAAUCUUGUAAUCCUUGAAGGACCACCAGUGGCGAAGGCGUCUCACCAGAACGGACCUGACGGCAAGGGACGAAAGCUAGGGGCACGAACC
Molecule: ribosomal RNA, 386 nt
Filed under: uncultured prokaryote
Description: bacterial SSU rRNA
Rfam family: Archaeal small subunit ribosomal RNA
Source: RNAcentral